This is a non-coding RNA of Lolium perenne, 2424 nucleotides long. NCBI's taxonomy places the organism in Eukaryota, Viridiplantae, Streptophyta, Magnoliopsida, Poales, Poaceae. The record is from RefSeq and is a predicted model, not a curated record.
CAUCGACACUGAGCCCAGCACCCAUCGCACCGCGCUGGCGUGCCCAUGGUCGUUAACGUCGCUGGACACGACCACUGGGGUGCUGGGUGGAGAGGAUGCUAAAUGGUGGUGGUGGGUGAGGGAUGUGCCCUUGUAGAAGAAGUGUCUUUUUGGCACCAAAAAAAAGAAGGAACAUUACCCGAAAGCGAGUGAUAUCAAGAAGGUAACCACUGGGAGCAGAUUCGAGAAAGUUGCAGCAAAUGUUGCUGUUGUGUACUCCAAUCCGACGAAGAGCGUGUACUGAAGCAGCACCGGACCGAGGAUUCCACUAAGGAACAUGUACACAAAGACCUCAGCAGUGAACUUUGGUCUUCUCUUUCUGAAAGAAGAAGAAAAAAAGGCAGUGCAUGUGCAUGAUCAGCAGCAGUGCAAUACCAGCGACAACUACUGGCAAUGGGGCCAAGGAAUACAGUGGCCAGCAUCUGCCUGAAAGUGAUGAGGACCAGCCGGUUCAUCCCCUGGUUCAGCGCCUGCUUGAGAAGCGCAGUCAUGACGGCAAUCACGAUGUUCGUGACCACCAUCGCUGCUGUUGGCAUCCAUUGCUCCAUGCAUCCUGCACUCCACAUUCUCGGCAUGUUUCCGAUUGCGGCUUUGCUUUCGCACACGUGACCGAGAACUAAAACAUGGCCCAAGAGGAAGGAGGACAAUGGUUGUGUCCUGACAUCAGAAUGUCUGAAUAAUUGUGGAAAUUUCUCGAGCAAAUUGCACAACCAGCUGAAUCGAAUAGCUGCCUUUAUUACACAGUGCAGCGGAACAAAUGCCAUAAGAUGAUACUGACAUGAAUUGUCAAGAUAUUUCCUCUAUUGCGGAGCUGGCGGUGGCAGUGGAAGCAGCAGCCAGAAAGAUACCACUGUUUGCACACUUUGGUGAGUUUGGCAGGUUCCUGUUUGGACUACAAACUUGACCCUAUUCUUAUCAUGGUAAGGGUGCAAAGCUGUUCAGUUGUGCAAAAAAGGCGGCACCAUCCCAUCCGAUCCAAUCCAAAGGAAAAGCAGGAUGGUGAGUUGUAAGUGGAGUGAUCACCUAGUAUGAAAGCUCCCCGUCUCAUCCAUGUCCCUUGAAAAUUGGAGCAACAGCAAGACCGAGGGCCGAGCUCAGCUCCCAAUUGCAGCGAAGGAACAACGAAAGCAGGUUGUCGCAAUGUGGCAUUGCCCAUGGUGGAACUGCACUUGGCUGCAACAGCAUUUUUACUUCAUGAUCAGGAAAUGGCCAGCGAGCCAGAGCUAGCCCCUAGAUGUAGCAGGGAAGAAUAAUCUCCAUCGCCGACAACCUCUAGUAGAUCCAGACCGGUGCGGUGACACCAAAUUCAUCAGAUGUAGUCUACGCACAUUAUGCGGCGAGCAUCAACCCACUUGUCACUUUCAGUUGAGACGACGUUACCGCCACUUGUCCACUUGUUUUUACUGCAGGGGGUGGAUUCAGACAAGCUGCUGAAUUAUGCACAUCCAAAGUAUAGCAUGACUGUUCAGAUCACAAUCUAAGCCACACAUGCAGCCAUAUCCCUUUUAAGGCUUUAGCUUCUUGCAAGGACAGAUAGAUGGAACUGUGUGGUGUUGUCCCAAUCACAGUACAUGCCCUAACCUAAGAAAGCACGUUAAGCAGCAAAGAAAAAGAAAGCACUGGCUUUAUCCAUAGGCCUAUGGUUGAGCAAAGUGCUGAGCCUCCUCUAUGCUGAAAUAAAAGGUAGCUUUAACCUGCCACAAAAGUUUUCAAAAAAGAAAAGAGAAGGAUUUGCAUUUGUGCUUUUGGAGAAAAAGAAAAGCAAAAUGAUUGUAUAUAUCAGAGCAGCAUCUUAAAAAGAGAGGUUUAACUAGUAUGACUGGGCUAGUGCCCAAUGUAAUCUAGCACAGAUUUGAUGCUGACCUUAAAUAUCUGAUAUAUUAGUGUAGUGUCAGUCAGUCUCAUGGUUAACCUUAAUCAGAUGCCAAAUUUAGUGGUUAAUUUGUCUUUUUGUAUUGAGAAGUCAGACAGUAAAAGCAGCAAAGGAGAACAAGUAUAUUUUUUCCAAGUGUUUUUAAUAUUUUCACAUGCAGAAUAAAGGAGCCCAAUUUGUGCUGUCUUGUUUGGGCAAAAUGAGCAUGUGAUGACUGUACCAGUACUACUGGGCUUUUUGGGCCUGAUGCUGGCUGUAAAUUUUGGGCCUACUCUUGAAGAUGAUCCGCUGUGCGGGUACUCCUGUUCGCAUGGACAACGGGCCGUCUCUUGAGUCUGCAAAUUCCUGUUCUGUAUUUUUACGUACUCCUAGGUGUAUUUGAAUCUGAGAGGGAGGGAAGGAAGUAUGUGCUGCUCCGUUAUUCAACAUGUACAUCUCCUGGACACGUACGCACUCGUGUUUACAAAGCUGUUAUGUAUAAUUAUUUUAAAGAACAUAAAACUGGUACAUGU